Molecule: non-coding RNA, 5356 nt
Organism: Pantherophis guttatus
Lineage: Eukaryota; Metazoa; Chordata; Lepidosauria; Squamata; Colubridae
Source: RefSeq, a predicted model, not a curated record
ACCUUUCUGCCUUUCUCUUGUCUGUCUGCUGAAAAGGAGAGGGGCUAAUCGGAGAGGGGGAUCUGUCAAAGAGGAGGCGGAGGGAGGGAGGCCAGCAACUUGUGCAGGGUUGUUCCACAAAAGAGGGCAGGACCAGAGCCUGUGGGGCAAACUAAAGGAAGGCGGUACAAGCUCCCUGCUAGGAGGAGCUGCUGGGUGCUGCGCAGAGCUGAACCUGACGUGGAACCUGACCACACAAAGUUCCUAGAUGGAUAAGACAAUAAAUUCCCCAGAUUUGAAAAUCAUACUUUUGUUGUCGCAACUUAAUAUUGCAUGGUUGCACUGAAGUUCAGCUUGGAGUCAGGUUUCUCUUCUAAAGACUUUUUCACAAGUGCCAGGCAUCCCCCAUCCUAAACCUAAAAAUUUGUUUUUUCUUUCCUAAAUGAUGAACUUUGUUAAACUUCAUUGUUAUUUUCAGCCCAAUUGCUUAACUUAUCAACAACAAUUUGAAUUAUAUUUUUCUCUUCCACUCAGUUCUGUCUCAUACACGCUAUUUAAUAAGCAUGCCUUCACCCAGAUACUAAAGAGUAGAAGAGGUGGGAUUGAGCACCCUUGUUGUCAAUCAAAGGUAAUUAAGAAACAAGAAGAGCCUGGGAAGACUUGUUCUGACUUUUGGUAAUUAUUUUCCUCCUGUCCACUGGCACUUCCCAGCCCUGCAGGAUUUCUGAAAGGCCAGCACAGUGUUGCGCCUCGUCUGCAGCCAAAUCAUUUGGGACCCAAGGAUGCCCUUCCGGUGGCCCUGGAGGCUUGCAUUUCAGCAGAGGAAAGGCUGCCUUUGGCCCACCGGCAUGGUUGCCCAUGGAAAGAGGGCCUGAGCUGAACCAGGCGCAGCUGAGUCGUUCUGCUCUUUCUUGGCCACCCUAUUUGGCUUUUCUUUAGUGUGAGCAUUUGCAAAACUAUUUUUUUAUUCCUGGAGCCCCCUACCAACCACGGCUUGUUCAUGGCUCCUCGGCAUUGUGGGGCAUUUGUCCAGAGCCUUUUCCCCCCCAGCUCCUUGUCCCCUUGGCUGCAGGGGCAGAGCUGGUCACUUGUGCUAGAAGUGGAGGCAGCUUCCUCCUUCAGCGCUACCUUUUUCUUCAUGAACCCUCGGCAAUGACUUGUCUUGCUUGCUCUAAGGAGGCUUCCUUCAUUCCUUUUGUGCAACAGCCUGGCCAAAUGUCAGCCUGUCUUCUGGCAACAUCUUCACUUUCCAGCUGUCAUUCAUGCAUGUGUUUAUUUAGACUGUUCUCCCUUCAUGGCUGUUUGGCCACCUCCAUUGUCCUCAGGGAGCAAACAUGUCCUGGCAGCCAUUUAUUCCUCUUCAGGUUUCUAUACAAGUCCAAAGGGCUUCAAUGGAAGAGAGGCUGUGGAUUGGGAAGAUGGUUUGCAGAAAUAUUUUCAAAUAUUAUUAUUAAAAUCCAGGAGCAACAGUGAGCCCAGCAAGGUAGCAUCUCUCCUGUUGUUUGGCACAGGAGCACCUAGUUGCUAGAAAUUCCUCCCAGUGGGAGAUCCUUCUGAACAUAAAUGAUGAAUAGAAGAGGAACUCGCCAGAUUUGCAGAUGACACUAAGCUGGCAGGAAUAGCCAACACCCCAGAAGACAAGCUCAGGAUCCAAAAAGAUCUUGACAGACUUGAACAAUGGGCCCUAUCCAACAACAUGAAAUUUAAUGUGGGGGAAAAGCAAGGUCUUACAUCCGGGCAGGAAAAAACAAAGAUACAGAUUAGGCGAAACCUGGCUCAAAAACAGUAACUGUGUGAGAGGGACCUUGGAAUCCUAGUGGAUGAUCACUUAAACAUGAGCCAGCACUGUGUGGCAGCAGCCAAAAAAGCUAAUACAAUCCUUGGUUGUAUAAACAGAGGCAUAGAAUUAAAAUCAUGUAAAAUAUUAGUACUGCUUUAUAAGUCCUUAGUAAGGCCACACCUGGAAUCCUGCAUCCACAUUUGGUCACCACAUUACAAAAAAGAGGUUGAGACUUUGGAAAAAGUGCAAAGAAGAGCAACUAAAAUGAUUAAGGACCUGGAGAUAAAAAUAUGAAAGGUUGCAGAAAGUGAGUAAGGCUAAUCUAGAGAAAAGAAGGACUAGGGGGAACAUGAUAGCAGUAUUCCAAUAUUUGAGGGGCUGCCACAAAGUGGAGGGGAUCAACUUAUUCUCCAAAGCACCAGAGAGCAGGGCAAGAAACAAUGGAAGCUAACCAAGGAGAGAAGCAACCUGGAAUUAAGGAGAAACUUCCUAACAGUGAGGACAAUUAACCAGUGGAACAGCUGGCCUUCAGAAAUCAUGGGUACGUCAUCACUGGAGGUUUUUAAGAAGAAAUUGGACAGCCAUCUAUCUGAAAUAGUAUAGGGUUUCCUGCUUGAGCAGGGGGUUGGACUACAAGACCGCCAGCUCUAUUUUGAUUGAUUGAUUUUUGACUGUCCAAACUUGCUUCGCAGUGCCUAAGCCUUUGGCAGCAGCUUUCUUUUGGGGUUCUUCAGUCUCUCUGAGGGUCUCCUUGGCCUUUCUUCAGCAAGUCAGUGGUUUUCCACCUGAUCUAGCAAGUGGGUCAACAGUAUAUUUGGGGUCGGAGCUGUUUGAUGGAAACAGGUCCUCCCAUGAACUGGUUUUUUUAAAAAAUUUAUUUAUUCAUUCAUUUAUUAUUUGAUUUGUAUGCCGCCCUUCUCCGGAGACUCAGGGCGGCUUACAAUGCGCUAAGCAAUAGCCUUCAUCCUUUUGUAUAUUUAUACAAAGUCAAUUUAUUGCCCCCACAAACUGGGUCCUCAUUUAACCUACCUUAGAAAGGAUGGAAGGCUGAGUCAACCUUGAGCCUUGGCGAGAUUCGAACCCUGCAGUAAUUGCAGGCAGCUGGUCUUAAUAACCAGCUUAAUAACAGGGUGCCUUAGACCACUGUACUACCAAGGCUCUGUUUUCCUUUGAGAAUGCAGGAACUUUACAUGUGUCUGUAGCAAGUUCCUCUUUGUCCUUAUUCUAAGAAGAGUUUUCCAAAUCUUGCUGGCUUCUGGCUUCCGAAUGACCCCAGAAGAGCCAGCAGAUCCCUUUCCCCAGACAGGCCAGGCUGUUUAGUGAUGGCUGUUGGUGCAGGCUGCAAAGGCAGAGUGGAAUGCUGCUGUCUGUGUGGAGGUCGCCACCAUUGAGUGGGUCUCCUGGUUCAGGGCCAGAACAUCGAUCACAGUCACAAGUGGGCUUAGGGUAGAACCAGAAGGGGAGCUGCCUUUUUCUUGAAUUUAUCAGCUGAAUUAGGCUGAGUGGCCUGCUGCCUCCCUCCUCUGGACAUUAGCCCAGGACUGCCCUGCUCCCGCUGGCCUGGCUGCCAGAGAAUGUUCCGGCUGACUAUCAGAAGUGUCCAUUGGGGCAGUCCCAGCCUGAGGGAGACGGAGAGCCCGAGGCUGCUCUUGAGGCAGGGAGGCCACCUCAUCUUCGUGGCCAUUGGACUGCAGCUCGUCUUCCCUGCCCAAGGCCUCUGGAGGAGGAAGUGGCAGGCUGGAGGGUGCCUGGGGCCCUGAUGGAGGGGGGCUCUAGAACUGAGGGAGCCAGCCUUCCCUGCUCCUGCAGCUCUGGAGUGGCAAGUGGGAGCCCCAAGUGGCUACCUGGAUGCCCCCCUCCCUCCACCCCUACUGUUGUUGCUGCAGCAGCUCCUGGAAGAAAAGCCUGUCCUGCUCUUUACAGAGAGGCCAUGCGGCUGCAGAAGGCUUGCUCUCCAUAUGGCUGCCUGCUGGCUUGGAUAAGCAAGAACUUCUUGCCCCUGGGCUAUGGGGGCUAUGGGGGCUUCCAAGCUGCAAAACACCAACAACUCAAAAUGUGCAUCCCAACUUUUGUAAGAAACUGAAAUGGCAUUUUUCAUCCUGCACUACGUAUUUCUUAGAUUUGUAUCCCGCCUUCCCUUCAGGUGCUGAAGGCAGCUUAAAUCCCUCCACAGCUUUAGUUUCUCAGAUCACCCAGAGCCCCCCUCUUCUUGCCAGUCAAUCCCAGGGGUCUGCACAACGGGCCUCUGCCACUCGACAAGCAGCCUGGCUUCUUCAGGCGUCGGGCAAGCAUCUGGCAUCUGGGCACAGGUUCCCCUCCUGCCUGUGCCACCAUAUGGCAGGGGCAGGCCUGUGCCAGCUGCCAAAGUUCUUGGAGAAGACCCUCCUGCUUGAUUCCCCUCCUCUUUGGAGAAUGACCUCUGGCUACCAAUUUGCCUUGGUGCACUGUUUUUCAAGGGCAAACAGGGCAGGGAAUGAUGGGGGAGCCAGUCCCUUCUCCUCCCACAGUCCUGGGAAACCCUUGGCAAUGCUCACUUUGGGGGCCAAGCUACCUUCCUUGCUUCUCUCUUGUGGCCCUUUCAGUGCCCUCCUUAGAGCAAGAGCCCCAUUCUGCCCUCAUCCAUCUCUGCCCUCCCAAAAUGUGAGGGGCAGAUUCCGGAGCCUAGCUAAUCUGCCCCACCUGUUAGCAUGGCACUGUGCCAGCCCCCUCUUUUGGGGACAGAUGCUUGCACUCGCUUUGGGCAUGUCACAGCCUUGGGCUUAGGGGGAAAGGAACAGUGGGGCUCCCAGGCAAGGUCUGGGCCGGGCUCGAAUGGACCAAACGAGGGAGGAGACCCCCUCUUGGAACAGGAGGAUAUGGUUCAGAUUUUGGUUGAGCACCUGCCAGAAGUAUAUUGAAAAGUUGCCACCACAGAGAGCAGCGCAAGGAAGUGCCACCUUGCAGCUCCAUGUCUGGCAGAUGCCACACGAGAGAAGAUGCUGCUGCACUGACUGGGCAUUACCUGUGUCACCCAGUGGUGGGCGCCACAGGCCAAGGGUGCAGGGAGAGCCUGGCCUGGCCAGGAGACCUCACUCUGUGGCAGCGCUGCAGAUGCGAUGCCCUCUCGUCAGCCCUGGGAAGCAGAGGGCCGCCUCAGAGGCGAGGCGCACCCAUGGGGAGGGGCAGCAGCUCUCCACGUCCCAGCUGGGGGCCUCAAGGAUGUCGGUGACAUGGCUCUGAUAGCGGCUGCUCUCCCUCCCUCUGUGCGAGACCCAGCAUCCUGCAGCUAGGAAGAAGAGGCAGAGGCCCCCAGCCCCCCGCUCCCCGGAGUCAAGCCUCUUCUCUGGAAAGAGACAUUUUCAAAACAGGUUUUAUAAGAAUUCAAAAUGGCAAGGAGGCCCUGUGAGUUUUCCUUCUGCAGUUAAAGGUCUGGUUCCCGAAGGCGGAGGAUCUCGUAUGCUUCAGUGCAGGAAGACCAUCUCUGGUCUGGCCAUCGCUUGCUGUGGGACCUUCAUGACUCAGAAAGGGUAGUCCAGUCAAGUCCAACUCUUGGCCGGGCCUGCUCCCCCUCCCCUUUUCCAUUGACUGCAGCUGUGCGGAAGGGGCCUUCUCCUUGGA